UGGGGAAUAUUGGACAAUGGGCGGAAGCCUGAUCCAGCCAUGCCGCGUGUGUGAAGAAGGCCUUUUGGUUGUAAAGCACUUUAAGCGAGGAGGAGGCUACUUGGGUUAAUACUCUAGGAUAGUGGACGGUACUCGCAGAAUAAGCACCGGCUAACUCUGUGCCAGCAGCCGCGGUAAUACAGAGGGUGCGAGCGUUAAUCGGAUUUAAUGGGCGUAAAGCGUGCGUAGGCGGCUUCUUAAGUCGGAUGUGAAAUCCCUGCGCUUAACUUAGGAAUUGCAUUCGAUACUGGGAAGCUAGAGUAUGGGAGAGGAUGGUAGAAUUCAAGGUGUAGCGGUGAAAUGCGUAGAGAUCUGGAGGAAUACAGAUGGCGAAGGCAGCCAUCUGGCCUAAUACUGACGCUGAGGUACGAAAGCAUGGGGAGCAAACAGG
Molecule: ribosomal RNA, 430 nt
Filed under: bacterium
Lineage: Bacteria
Description: partial 16S ribosomal RNA
Rfam family: Bacterial small subunit ribosomal RNA
Source: RNAcentral